GGGCCCGUGGUCUAGCUUGGACAGGACGCAGUCCAUAAAAGCCUGAAAUCGGGGGUUCAAUUCCCCCCGGGCCCGCCA
RNAcentral lists this transfer RNA (78 nucleotides) under Candidatus Bathyarchaeota archaeon. RNAcentral's name for it is "tRNA-Leu". It matches the Rfam family "tRNA". Rfam says of the family: Transfer RNA (tRNA) molecules are approximately 80 nucleotides in length. Their secondary structure includes four short double-helical elements and three loops (D, anti-codon, and T loops). Further hydrogen bonds mediate the characteristic L-shaped molecular structure. tRNAs have two regions of fundamental functional importance: the anti-codon, which is responsible for specific mRNA codon recognition, and the 3' end, to which the tRNAs corresponding amino acid is attached (by aminoacyl-tRNA synthetases). tRNAs cope with the degeneracy of the genetic code in two manners: having more than one tRNA (with a specific anti-codon) for a particular amino acid; and 'wobble' base-pairing, i.e. permitting non-standard base-pairing at the 3rd anti-codon position. Lineage: Archaea; Thermoproteati; Candidatus Bathyarchaeota. The record is from RNAcentral.